AGCAGUUGCUAGCUCAGUGGUAAGAGUGCAUGCUUUGGUAUGUGUAAUGUCCUGGGUUCAAAUCCCAGCUGCUG
Molecule: transfer RNA, 74 nt
Filed under: Dallia pectoralis (Alaska blackfish)
Lineage: Eukaryota; Metazoa; Chordata; Actinopteri; Esociformes; Umbridae
Description: tRNA-OTHER
Source: RNAcentral